This 332-nucleotide unclassified non-coding RNA is filed under the name soil metagenome. RNAcentral's name for it is "partial contains 5.8S ribosomal RNA, internal transcribed spacer 2, and large subunit ribosomal RNA". The stretch from base 1 to 120 matches the Rfam family "5.8S ribosomal RNA", at positions 35 to 154 of the family's 154-position model. The record is from RNAcentral.
GAUGAAGAACGUAGCGAAAUGCGAUAAGUAGUGUGAAUUGCAGAAUUCAGUGAAUCAUCGAAUCUUUGAACGCACAUUGCGCCCUUUGGUAUUCCUUAGGGCAUGCCUGUUCGAGCGUCAUUUAAACCUUCAAGCUAAGCUUGGUGUUGGGUGACUGUCCGCUUCACUGCGGACUCGCCUCAAAAUUAUUGGCGGCCGGUACAUUGGCUUCGAGCGCAGCAGAAACGCGAACUCGGGCCCGUCGUAUUGGCUCCCAGAAGCUAUCUUCACAAUUUUGACCUCGGAUCAGGUAGGGAUACCCGCUGAGCUUAAGCAUAUCAAUAAGCGGAGGA